Molecule: ribosomal RNA, 497 nt
Filed under: uncultured bacterium
Lineage: Bacteria
Description: partial 16S ribosomal RNA
Rfam family: Bacterial small subunit ribosomal RNA
Source: RNAcentral
GAUGAACGCUGGCGGCGUGCCUAAUACAUGCAAGUCGAGCGAACAGAUGAGGAGCUUGCUCCUCUGACGUUAGCGGCGGACGGGUGAGUAACACGUGGAUAACCUACCUAUAAGACUGGGAUCACUUCGGGAAACCGGAGCUAAUACCGGAUAAUAUAUUGAACCGCAUGGUUCAAUAGUGAAAGACGGUUUUGCUGUCACUUAUAGAUGGAUCCGCGCAGCAUUAGCUAGUUGUUAAGGUAACGGCUUACCAAGGCAACGAUGCGUAGCCGACCUGAGAGGGUGAUCGGCCACACUGGAACUGAGACACGGUCCAGACUCCUACGGGAGGCAGCAGUAGGGAAUCGUCCGCAAUGGGCGAAAGCCUGACGGAGCAACGCCGCGUGAGUGAUGAAGGUCUUCGGAUCGUAAAACUCUGUUAUUAGGGAAGAACAAAUGUGUAAGUAACUAUGCACGUCUUGACGGUACCUAAUCAGAAAGCCACGGCUAACUACGUG